UACGAAGGGGGCUAGCGUUGCUCGGAAUUACUGGGCGUAAAGCGCACGUAGGCGGCUCUUUAAGUCGGGGGUGAAAUCCUGGAGCUCAACUCCAGAACUGCCUUCGAUACUGGAGAGCUCGAGUCCGGGAGAGGUGAGUGGAACUGCGAGUGUAGAGGUGAAAUUCGUAGAUAUUCGCAAGAACACCAGUGGCGAAGGCGGCUCACUGGCCCGAUACUGACGCUGAGGCACGAAAGCGUGGGGAGCAAACAGG
RNAcentral lists this ribosomal RNA (253 nucleotides) under uncultured bacterium. RNAcentral describes it as "partial 16S ribosomal RNA". It matches the Rfam family "Bacterial small subunit ribosomal RNA", at positions 524 to 776 of the family's 1533-position model. The record is from RNAcentral.